Molecule: ribosomal RNA, 774 nt
Filed under: uncultured bacterium
Lineage: Bacteria
Description: bacterial SSU rRNA
Rfam family: Bacterial small subunit ribosomal RNA
Source: RNAcentral
GUUUGUCCUGGCUCAGAAUCAACGCUGGCGGCGUGCCUAACACAUGCAAGUCGAGCGAGAAAAGGGGAGCAAUCCCCUGAGUAAAGCGGCGCACGGGUGAGUAACACGUGGGUAAUCUACCCUGGAGUGGGGAAUAACACCGGGAAACCGGUGCUAAUACCGCAUACGAUCACGAUGUCUGCGGACGUUGUGAUGAAAGGAGCAAUUCGCUCCAGGAGGAGCCCGCGGCUGAUUAGCUAGUUGGUGAGGUAAUGGCUCACCAAGGCUUCGAUCAGUAUCCGGUCUGAGAGGACGGUCGGACACACUGGAACUGAGACACGGUCCAGACUCCUACGGGAGGCAGCAGUGGGGAAUUUUUCGCAAUGGGGGCAACCCUGACGAAGCAACGCCGCGUGGAUGAUGAAGUAUCUCGGUACGUAAAAUCCUUUCGACAGGGAAGAAACCGCAAGGUUGACGGUACCUGUAGAAGAAGCCCCGGCUAACUCCGUGCCAGCAGCCGCGGUAAUACGGGGGGGGCAAGCGUUGUUCGGAAUUACUGGGCGUAAAGGGCGCGUAGGCGGCCUGCUAAGUUGGAUGUGAAAACUCUGGGCUUAACCCAGAGCCUGCAUUCAAAACUGACAGGCUAGAGUUCUGGAGGGGAUAGCGGAAUUCCUGGUGUAGCGGUGAAAUGCGUAGAUAUCACGAGGAACACCGGGUGGCGAAGCGGCUAUCUGGACAGAGUCUGACGCUGAGCGCGAAAGCUAGGGAGCAAACAGAUAGAUACCCUGGUAGUCU